Long non-coding RNA from Etheostoma spectabile (orangethroat darter), 128 nucleotides. RefSeq lists it as uncharacterized. NCBI's taxonomy places the organism in Eukaryota, Metazoa, Chordata, Actinopteri, Perciformes, Percidae. The record is from RefSeq and is a predicted model, not a curated record. The transcript is spliced from 3 exons.
UUAACCAAAAAAUCAUAGCUUGCACUUUCUUCACAUUUUUCAUCAGGGUGCAGUUUUUCCUUGUCUUUCAUAUAUGCGUUUACUAUUGUGGAACUGGCAAAGACCUGGUUUCACAAAAGCAGAAAUUA